GACGAACGCUGGCGGCGUGCUUAACACAUGCAAGUCGAACGGAAAGGCCCUGCUUUUGUGGGGUGCUCGAGUGGCGAACGGGGGAGUAACACGUGAGUAACCUGCCCUUGACUUUGGGAUAACUUCAGGAAACUGGGGCUAAUACCGGAUAGGAGCUCCUGCUGCAUGGUGGGGGGUGGAAAGUUUCGGUGGUUGGGGAUGGACUCGCUGCUUAUCAGCUUGUUGGUGGGGUAGUGGCUUACCAAGGCUUUGACGGGUAGCCGGCCUGGGAGGGUGACCGGGGACAUUGGGCCUGAGAGAGGGACCAGAAUCCUACGGGAGGCAGCAGUGGGGAAUAUUGCACAAUGGGCGGGCGCCUGAUGCGGCAGCGCCGGGUGCGGGAUGACGGGCUUUGGGUUGUAAACCGCUUUCGCAUGUGCCGAAGCGUGAGUGACGGUAAUGGGUAAAGAAGCACCGGCUAACUACGUG
Molecule: ribosomal RNA, 468 nt
Filed under: uncultured bacterium
Lineage: Bacteria
Description: partial 16S ribosomal RNA
Rfam family: Bacterial small subunit ribosomal RNA
Source: RNAcentral